Molecule: ribosomal RNA, 101 nt
Filed under: Serratia marcescens
Lineage: Bacteria; Pseudomonadati; Pseudomonadota; Gammaproteobacteria; Enterobacterales; Yersiniaceae
Also listed under: 9 other names
Description: partial 23S ribosomal RNA
Rfam family: Bacterial large subunit ribosomal RNA
Source: RNAcentral
GGUUAAGUGACUAAGCGUACACGGUGGAUGCCUAGGCAGUCAGAGGCGAUGAAGGGCGUGCUAAUCUGCGAAAAGCGUCGGUAAGGUGAUAUGAACCGUUA